RNAcentral lists this ribosomal RNA (484 nucleotides) under uncultured bacterium. RNAcentral's name for it is "partial 16S ribosomal RNA". It matches the Rfam family "Bacterial small subunit ribosomal RNA", at positions 28 to 507 of the family's 1533-position model. The record is from RNAcentral.
AUUGAACGCUGGCGGCAUGCUUUACACAUGCAAGUCGAACGACCGCGCGGGCUUCGGCCUGGUGGCGCGUGGCGAACGGGUGAGUAAUGCAUCGGAACGUGACCUGCCGUGGGGGCUAGCACGGCGACAGCAGGCCUAAUACCGUAUCGGACCUGAGGGUGAAAGCGGGGGAUCGAAAGUCCUCGCGCGAUUGGAUCGGCCGAUGUCGGAUUAGCUAGUUGGUGGGGUAAAGGCUUACCAAGGCGACGAUCCGUAGCUGGUCUGAGAGGACGACCGGCCACACUGGGACUGAGACACGGCCCAGACUCCUACGGGAGGCAGCAGUAGGGAAUUUUGCACAAUGGGCGCAACCCUGAUCCAGCCAUGCCGCGUGCGGGAAGAAGGCCUUCGGGUUGUAAACCGCUUUUGUUCGGGAAGAAAUCCUCUGGGCUAAUACCCCGGGGGGAUGACGGUACCGGAAGAAAAAGCACCGGCUAACUACGUG